UACGUAGGGGGCGAGCGUUAUCCGGAAUUAUUGGGCGUAAAGGGUGCGUAGGCGGCCUUGUGUGUCAGGUGUGAAAGGCUACGGCUCAACCGUAGUUAGCACUUGAAACUGCAGGGCUUGAGUGCAGGAGAGGAGAGUGGAAUUCCUAGUGUAGCGGUGAAAUGCGUAGAUAUUAGGAGGAACACCAGUGGCGAAGGCGACUCUCUGGACUGUAACUGACGCUGAGGCACGAAAGCGUGGGGAGCGAACAGG
RNAcentral lists this ribosomal RNA (252 nucleotides) under uncultured bacterium. RNAcentral describes it as "partial 16S ribosomal RNA". It matches the Rfam family "Bacterial small subunit ribosomal RNA", at positions 524 to 776 of the family's 1533-position model. The record is from RNAcentral.